GAUGAACGCUGGCGGCGUGCCUAAUACAUGCAAGUCGAGCGAACAGACGAGGAGCUUGCUCCUCUGUCGUUAGCGGCGGACGGGUGAGUAACACGUGGGUAACCUACCUAUAAGACUGGGAUAACAUCGGGAAACCGGAGCUAAUACCGGAUAAUACAUUGUAUCGCAUGGUUCAUCAGUGAAAGACGGUUCUGCUGUCACCUACAGAUGGAUCCGCGCCGCAUUAGCUAGUUGGUAAGGUAACGGCUUACCAAGGCAACGAUACGUAGCCGACCUGAGAGGGUGAUCGGCCACACUGGAACUGAGACACGGUCCAGACUCCUACGGGAGGCAGCAGUAGGGAAUCUUCCGCAAUGGACGAAAGCCUGACGGAGCAACGCCGCGUGAGUGAUGAAGGUCUUCGGAUCGUAAAACUCUGUUAUUAGGGAAGAACAAGUGUGUAAGUAACUAGGCACGUCUUGACGGUACCUAAUCAGAAAGCCACGGCUAACUACGUG
This 497-nucleotide ribosomal RNA is filed under the name uncultured bacterium. Its description in RNAcentral is "partial 16S ribosomal RNA". It matches the Rfam family "Bacterial small subunit ribosomal RNA", at positions 28 to 507 of the family's 1533-position model. The record is from RNAcentral.